GAUCCCAUAGUUCAAUGGAUAGAAUAGGGGCGUCCUAAGCCUUCGAUCCAGGUUCGAGUCCUGGUGGGAUCACCA
This 75-nucleotide transfer RNA is filed under the name Candidatus Falkowbacteria bacterium CG10_big_fil_rev_8_21_14_0_10_39_11. RNAcentral describes it as "tRNA-Arg". It matches the Rfam family "tRNA". From Rfam's summary of the family: Transfer RNA (tRNA) molecules are approximately 80 nucleotides in length. The record is from RNAcentral. Lineage: Bacteria; Candidatus Falkowiibacteriota.